AGACUCUCUCAGGCACUGGCAAUACUACAGUCAAGACUGUGGUUUCCCCAGAGUAAGGAUCUAAUACUGCACACUUGGUUGGGUUGACCCCUGUGAUUUCCCCAAAUGUGAGAAACUUAACUGCACAGUUUUUGAUAGCAUGAUGUCUGAAAAACAUUAUA
This is a small nuclear RNA of Protopterus annectens (West African lungfish), 161 nucleotides long. RefSeq annotates it as U1 spliceosomal RNA. The transcript has a single exon. NCBI's taxonomy places the organism in Eukaryota, Metazoa, Chordata, Ceratodontiformes, Protopteridae. The record is from RefSeq and is a predicted model, not a curated record.